This 380-nucleotide ribosomal RNA is filed under the name uncultured bacterium. Its description in RNAcentral is "bacterial SSU rRNA". It matches the Rfam family "Bacterial small subunit ribosomal RNA", at positions 958 to 1339 of the family's 1533-position model. The record is from RNAcentral.
AACGCGAAGAACCUUACCAGCCCUUGACAUGUCCGGCUAGCCAGACAGAUUUGGUGUUCCCUUCGGGGACCGGAGCACAGGUGCUGCAUGGCUGUCGUCAGCUCGUGUCGUGAGAUGUUGGGUUAAGUCCCGCAACGAGCGCAACCCUCGCCCUUAGUUGCCAGCAUUCAGUUGGGCACUGUAAGGGGACUGCCGGUGAUAAGCCGAGAGGAAGGUGGGGAUGACGUCAAGUCCUCAUGGCCCUUACGGGUUGGGCUACACACGUGGUACAAUGGUGGUGACAGUGGGCAGCGAGACCGCGAGGUCGAGCUAAUCUCCAAAACCCAUCUCAGUUCGGAUUUCACUCUGCAACUCGAGUGCAUUAAGUUGGAGUCGCUAGC